This 67-nucleotide transfer RNA is filed under the name Ogmocotyle ailuri. Its description in RNAcentral is "tRNA-Lys". The record is from RNAcentral. Lineage: Eukaryota; Metazoa; Platyhelminthes; Trematoda; Plagiorchiida; Notocotylidae.
CUGUUGGUAGCUUAAUGAAAGCUUAGGAUUCUUACUCCUACGUUGUAAAUCUUUUUUAUUCGACAGG